This 2898-nucleotide ribosomal RNA is filed under the name Roseburia sp. OM02-15. Its description in RNAcentral is "23S ribosomal RNA". It matches the Rfam family "Bacterial large subunit ribosomal RNA". The record is from RNAcentral. Lineage: Bacteria; Bacillati; Bacillota; Clostridia; Lachnospirales; Lachnospiraceae.
AGGUCAAGCGAAGAAGAGCGCAGGGUGGAUGCCUUGGCACUAAGAGCCGAUGAAAGACGUGAUAAGCUGCGAUAAGCUGCGGUAAGGAGCAAAUAUCCAUUGACCCGCAGAUUUCUGAAUGGGGAAACCCACAUGAGAACACCUCAUGUAUCCAUACGCCAAUCCAUAACGUAUGGAGGGGAACCCGGUGAACUGAAACAUCUAAGUAGCCGGAGGAAGAGAAAGAAACAAUCGAUUCCGUAAGUAGCGGCGAGCGAACGCGGAAGAGCCCAAACCAUGGUGCGUGCACCAUGGGGUUCGGACUGCAUAAUUGAUCUGAAGAGCUUAGCAGAAUGGUUUUGGGAAAGCCAGCCGGAGAGGGUGAAAGCCCCGUAAGCGAAAAGUGAUUCAGCAUGGCAGUAUCCAGAGUACAUCGAGACACGUGGAACCUUGAUGGAAGGAGCGGGGACCACCCCGUAAGGCUAAAUACUACUUAGUGACCGAUAGCGCAUAGUACUGUGAAGGAAAGGUGAAAAGGACCCCGGGAGGGGAGUGAAAGAGAACCUGAAACCCUGUGUUUACAAACUGUCGAAGGGCUUUAUAUGCCCGACGGCGUACUUUUUGUAGAACGGUCCGGCGAGUUGUGCAUACUGGCAAGGUUAAGGGAUGAAGUCCCGGAGCCGCAGGGAAACCAAGCCUUAAUAGGGCGCGUCAGUCAGUGUGUGCAGACCCGAAACCGGGUGACCUAUCCAUGUCCAGGUUGAAGUUGCCGUAAAAGGCAAUGGAGGACCGAACGCACAUCCGUUGAAAAGGGUGGCGAUGAGGUGUGGAUAGCGGAGAAAUUCCAAUCGAACCCGGAGAUAGCUGGUUCUCCUCGAAAUAGCUUUAGGGCUAGCCUCGUUUUAGUCUGGUGGAGGUAGAGCACUGAAUUCCCAAGGGGGCGUCAAAGCUUACUAAGGGAUAUCAAACUCCGAAUGCCAUACAGAUGAUGAACGGGAGUCAGACUAUACGAGAUAAGUUGGAUAGUCAAAAGGGAAAGAGCCCAGACCUGCAGCUAAGGUCCCAAAGUGCAUGUUAAGUGGAAAAGGAUGUGGGAUCUCUAAGACAACUAGGAUGUUGGCUCAGAAGCAGCCAUUCAUUCAAAGAGUGCGUAACAGCUCACUAGUCGAGAGGUCCUGCGCCGAAAAUGUCCGGGGCUAAAACAUGCCACCGAAGCUCAGGAAUGACAUAGUCAUUGGUAGAGGAGCAUUCUUAACGCGAAGAAGCAGUACCGUAAGGAGCUGUGGAGUGCUAAGAAGAGAGAAUGCCGGAAUGAGUAGCGAGAACAAGGUGAGAAUCCUUGUGGCCGAAUAUCCAAGGUCUCCAGGGUAAAGCUGAUCUGCCCUGGGAAAGUCGGGACCUAAGGUCAGGCUGAAAAGCGUAGCCGAUGGACAACAGGUUGAUAUUCCUGUACCGCAUGGUAACAGAACUGUGGGGACACGGGAGGGAAACAUGGGCCGGAAAUGGAAAGUCCGGUACAAGCGAGGUAGUCGCACAGCAGGCAAAUCCGCUGUGCAUAAGACGAAGCCGUGAUGUGGAGCGAAAUGAAGUAGCGAAGCAUGUGCCCCCUCCUGUCGAGAAAAGCCGCUAUUGUUUGCCAUGCGCCCGUACCGUAAACCGACACAGGUGGAUGAGGAGAGAAUCCUAAGGCCGGCGGGAGAAGCAUUGUCAAGGAACUCGGCAAAAUGACCCCGUAACUUCGGGAGAAGGGGUGCCCACGCAAGUGGGCCGCAGAGAAUAGGCUCAAGCAACUGUUUAGCAAAAACACAGGUCUAUGCGAAACCGUAAGGUGAUGUAUAUGGGCUGACGCCUGCCCGGUGCUGGAAGGUUAAGAGGAGAGGUUAGCGCAAGCGAAGCUUUGAAUCCAAGCCCCAGUAAACGGCGGCCGUAACUAUAACGGUCCUAAGGUAGCGAAAUUCCUUGUCGGGUAAGUUCCGACCCGCACGAAAGGCGUAAUGAUUUGAGCGCUGUCUCGACAAUGCACCCGGUGAAAUUGAAGUACCAGUGAAGAUGCUGGUUACCCGCGCCAGGACGGAAAGACCCCAUGGAGCUUUACUCCAGUUUGGUACUGGAGCCUGGUAUUGCAUGUACAGGAUAGGUGGGAGCUUAAGAACCUGGGACGCCAGUCUCAGGGGAGGCGCUGUUGGGAUACCACCCUUGCAAUAUCGGGUUUCUAACCAGCCGCCGUGAUCCGGCGGUGGGACAAUGCCAGGCGGGGAGUUUGACUGGGGCGGUCGCCUCCGAAAGGGUAUCGGAGGCGCUCAAAGUUUCCCUCAUAAUGGUCGGAAACCAUUAGAAGAGUGCAAAGGCAGAAGGGAGGCUGACUGCGACACCGACGGGUGGAGCAGGUACGAAAGUAGGACUUAGUGAUCCGGUGGCAUAAAGUGGGAUUGCCAUCGCUCAACGGAUAAAAGCUACCCUGGGGAUAACAGGCUUAUCACUCCCAAGAGUUCACAUCGACGGAGUGGUUUGGCACCUCGAUGUCGGCUCAUCGCAUCCUGGGGCUGUAGCAGGUCCCAAGGGUUGGGCUGUUCGCCCAUUAAAGCGGUACGCGAGCUGGGUUCAGAACGUCGUGAGACAGUUCGGUCCCUAUCCGGCGCGGGCGUAGGAUAUCUGAGGGGAGCUGGCCUUAGUACGAGAGGACCGGGCUGGACGGACCACUGGUGUACCGGCUGUCAUGCCAAUGGCAUCGCCGGGUAGCCAAGUCCGGAAGGAAUAAACGCUGAAGGCAUCUAAGCGUGAAGUCCCCCCCAAGAUGAGAUAUCCCAUCCUUUUAAAGGAGUAAAAACCCUUGAAGAGUACGAGGUAGAUAGGGCAGAGGUGGAAGUGUGGUAACACAUGGAGCUGACUGUUACUAAUCGUUUGAGGGCUUGACCAAAA